GCAGUCGUGGCCGAGUGGUUAAUGCGAUGGGCUACAAAUUCAUUGGAGUCUCCCCGCAUAGGUUCAAAUUCUGUCGACUGCG
Ixodes scapularis (black-legged tick) is the source of this 82-nucleotide non-coding RNA. The record is from Rfam. Lineage: Eukaryota; Metazoa; Arthropoda; Arachnida; Ixodida; Ixodidae.